RNAcentral lists this long non-coding RNA (1206 nucleotides) under Corvus moneduloides (New Caledonian crow). RNAcentral describes it as "lncRNA (ENSCMUG00000019439.1)". Lineage: Eukaryota; Metazoa; Chordata; Aves; Passeriformes; Corvidae. The record is from RNAcentral.
AUGUUCAGCUGCCGGACAAAGCCGAUUCCCAGCGCUCCCAGAAUUCCCAGAAUUCCUGGAAUUCCCGGGAAUACUCACACACGUUCAGCUGCCGGACAAAGCCGAUUCCGGAGCUCCCAGAAUUCCCAGAAUUCCCGGAAUUCCCGGGAAUACUCACACACGUUCAGCUGCCGCACGAAGCCGAUUCCGGAGCUCCCAGAAUUCCCAGAAUUCCCGGAAUUCCCGGGAAUACUCACACACGUUCAGCUGCCGGACGAAGCCGAUUCCGGAGCUCCCAGAAUUCCCAGAAUUCCCGGAAUUCCCGGGAAUACUCACACAUGUUCAGCUGCCGGACAAAGCCGAUUCCCAGCGCUCCCAGAAUUCCCAGAAUUCCUGGAAUUCCCGGGAAUACUCACACACGUUCAGCUGCCGGACAAAGCCGAUUCCGGAGCUCCCAGAAUUCCCAGAAUUCCCGGAAUUCCCGGGAAUACUCACACACGUUCAGCUGCCGCACGAAGCCGAUUCCGGAGCUCCCAGAAUUCCCAGAAUUCCCGGAAUUCCCGGGAAUACUCACACACGUUCAGCUGCCGGACGAAGCCGAUUCCGGAGCUCCCAGAAUUCCCAGAAUUCCCGGAAUUCCCGGGAAUACUCACACAUGUUCAGCUGCCGGACGAAGCUGGCCAUGUUGUUGUGUUUGAAGUACUUGGGCAGCACCUCCUUGGCGAACUGGCCCUGGUCGAAGACGUGGAAGCUGCUCCCGCUCUGCCCAUGGAAAAAAACCGGGAAAAGCGGGAUCAUUCCCGGCCUCUGGAAUGCCAAUGGAAUGCUGGGCGAUCCCAGGUUUGGGGUGGAGUCGCCCAAGGUUGGGAUUUUUGGGGUUUUUGGGAGCUGUUCCCAGAGAAAAUCGGGAUCCGCCGCGUUCGCGAUUGGGCAGAAUUCCAGAGGAAUUCUGGACGUUUCUCCAGCCCUGUAGGGAAAACCGGGAUCAUUCCCGGCCUCUGGAAUGCCAAUGGAAUUCUGGGCGAUCCCAGGUUUAUGCUGGAGUCGCCCAAGGUUGGAAUUUUAGGGGUUUUUGGGGUUUUAAUGGGGUUUUUUGGGAGCUGUUCCCAGCAGGGAAUUGGGAUCCGCCUCGAUCCCGAGAUUCCCAAUGGGAUCGGAAUUCCGGAGGUUCCUGCGCUCUCUGCCAGGGAAAACCGGGAUCAUUCCCGGCCUCUGGAAUCCUCCUAG